RNAcentral lists this ribosomal RNA (201 nucleotides) under uncultured bacterium. RNAcentral's name for it is "partial 16S ribosomal RNA". It matches the Rfam family "Bacterial small subunit ribosomal RNA", at positions 1300 to 1500 of the family's 1533-position model. The record is from RNAcentral.
GCAGGCUGCAACUCGCCUGCAUGAAGUCGGAAUUGCUAGUAAUCGUAGGUCAGCAUACUACGGUGAAUACGUUCCCGGGCCUUGUACACACCGCCCAUCAAACCAUGAGAGUUGGCAACACCCGAAGUCGGUAGUCUAACCGCAAGGAGGACGCCGCCGAAGGUGGGGUUGAUGAUUAGGGUUAAGUCGUAACAAGGUAUC